AUUCGGGAAUCUUCGGCCGAAGUAUCGAGCGUAAUAAAGGAAAGCGUUCCUAUACGACUCAAUUGAAUCGUAUAAGAAGGAAUAAUCACAUUAGGGGUUUGACAUAAUAUAUCCAUACCCUAGUAAUGUGAUUGAGAGUAUUGUUUUAGAGAAGGAUUAAAUUACAUUGUAAUUCCAACUGAAUAGGUUCUCCGAAUAAACUUUUACAUUAGCUUGGGUAGCUAUGACAUAUGGUUAGAUGUCACUCAUAGCUUGUGAGUUCUUCUAGAUGAUUAAAUGUAGUCGUCAAAAGAAGAAAGGUGAAUUAAAAUGAAGUUUUAAUUCACUAAGUGAUUGAAUUAAAUAUAAUCAAUUGGAUUGAUGCCAAUCACCUCACUGCCUUGCUAAUUAAUUAGAACCUAAAAGAUGUUCACCAAUACACUAUUGUAGUGAGUAACUAAUGGAUGAUGGAAAUAAUUAAUUGGAUUAAUUAAGUGUUGUGAUUAAUUUAAAAAGUCUAAAGAAAUCAUAAAAAGCAAUAAAGAUCGUUUUUGGGCUUAAAGAAACGUUCGGGUUUAAUUGGGCCCAUUGGGCUUUUAUUCAAGCAUUGGAUGACUUGAAAUAAAUGAAAGCCCAAAGCCCAAACAACACAAAGAGGGCCGGCCAUUUUAGGUGUGGAAAGGGUGAGAUAUUUAGUCAAGUUGUUGGCUAGGUUUCUUAUGUCUAUAUAAGGAACUUUAUAGUGAUAUUGUUCAUUAGGGUUUUUGUGUGGUUAAAAACAACAAAGAGGCAAAAGAAUAUCUCUCCAAUAACUACACAAAGGCCGGCCACCUUGGGGUGAUUUUACUAACAUAUCUUUCACCCUUUGGUUAUUCCUUCAUCCUUCUCACUACUCUAGUGGGUGAGGAUCUUUAGAGGUUUCCUACUUUGGAAACUUGAAGAGAACCUAGGAGCACUCAUUCUUCAAAGUGGAGGAGGCAAGGAGGGAAGCUAGGCUCAAGGAGUUCAAGGAACAAAGGGCUUGGAGGUGGUCCAUCCUUGGUCUCAAGUCUAGAUCAAGAGGUAUAAGACUAAACCUUCACUUUGUUCUUUUCUCUAAAAUUUUAUUUGAUGCAUUAUAUAUAAACCUAUGAACCUUGAAGGGGAUUUGCAUGACUAUAGCUUUGUUAAUUUGUUAUAAAUGCUUCCGCUGCUUUCGUAUAUUAAAUUUGAUUUGUAUAUGCAUGAUAGUCAUUUAGAAAUCCCAUUCAUGAAUCUCAUAGAUUUCCCUUCAGUUUGCAUGCAGGGAUUUAAUGCUAGAAUCUCAGGGAAUUUCACCUAAUAGUUAUGAACUUAUAUUCACAAGUGAUGGAGGUUGCUAUUCACAAUCGUGUUAAGUGAAUUCUUGGCAAGAGUAUCAUGCUGUCAUAGUUACGAAUGCCUUGUCAAUGCUUAUGAUUUUCACAAAGCUUAAUGAUCUUUGAUUGUAUCUCUAUUAUGUUGUUCAUGUAGGGAACUAUUGAAGAAUAAUUUGGUUGUCGAUGCGUUGUCCAUCCAAUUCAAUGACCUAAGGAAAAUCUAAGGGUUAAUUAGUGCUGUUCACAGUUAAUCUGGGGUGUUGAGGUUCAUGGUUUACUAGAAAAUUGCAAGUGUGUCAUGUGUGGAGAAGAACCCUCUAGCUAGCUAAUCACCCAUAUUUUCCCCCAAAUUCGUGCUAAAUUUGCUUAAUUUUUUAAUUUACUUGUCUUUACUUUAAAUUCGUCAAAAACCAAAUCCCUUUUACUUUGUUGUGUCAAGUUAGUUAGAAUAUGUCCAAUUUGUGUUUUUAAGUGUUUUGAGUCAAGUUAAAAUCAAUUUUCGUCCAAUUCACCCUCCAGUGUCUAGUUUGAGUCUAUUUGAUUGUUUUGUGCUAUUUUUAGUCUUUUUAGUUUGUUUUGAGUUCUUUGAGUCUAGUUAAGUGUUUUCAAGCCUAGUUUAGUGUUUUUGAGUCAAUUUAAGUAGAUUAGUGAUCCCUCCUAAUCCUCGGCCUAGAACGAUCCCUACUUAUAUCUUUACUACAAUUGUCAAUAAGAGGGUUUAAUUUGAGUGCUAGUUCAAUUUCCCAUCACUUGACACACAAAUUAAACCCUAUUAAACAUGUAAUUGAAGUAUUAAUCAAGUAGGGAUUGUUCUAGACCAGGGAUUAACUAGGGAUGCUAAUCAACACAAAUAAGAUUCAAAAACACUAAACUAGACUGUAUAAACUUAAAACUGACUUAAAUGACUCAAAACAGCAACAAACAAUAAAAAAGACUCAAUUCUAGACCUAACAAGUGAUUUUGACGAAAAUAAACUUAACUUGCCUCAAAAGAUUAAAAGAAAACAGAUUAUGACUCAACUAACAAGACUUAAUGAAAGGGGGAUUGUUUUUGACGAAUUUAAAACUUAAAACAGAAACUUUGCAUAAAACACUUUAUAAAAAACGAAUUUGGUGAAUUGAAAAGGGUGGAAGCCUAGUUAGAGGGUCCUUCUCCACACAUGACAUAUGCAUACAAACCAAUUUCUAGUUAUUAUUCUUUUAGAUUAUGAAUGACAACACCCCAAGUUAACCGUGAUAGCACAAAUUAACCAUCAGAUUUUCCUUAAUUCAUUGAAUUGGAUGGAAUACGCAUCGCAACCAAAUUAUUCUUAUCAAGUUCCCUAACUAUGAAAAGGAUGAUAGAAAGACAUAUCAAAGGUCAUUAAGUUCUUUGAAAACCAUAAGCAUUGACGAAGCAUUCGUAACUAUGAAAAGCAUGAUAUCCUGCCAAGGAUUUACUUAGCACAAUCAUGACUAGUGACUUCCACUACUUGUGAAUAUAAGUUUAUAACGAUUAGGUGAAACUCCCUUAUACUCUAGCAUCAAAUUCAUACAUGCGAAUUAAGUGUCGAUCCUCAAUCUACAUACAUAAAUAAGUUUUAAUAACUCAGAUAAGGAAAUCACAUUCAAGACUUAAGAAACAAUAACUAGAUGUAAUCAAUUCAUAUAAAACUUAUAAUCAGGGCUUCCAAUUCACCUCCAACUAUAAAGAAAUUAGUUCCUCAUGUUCGCAAUUAAACAAAGACAAUUAAAUUUAAACAUUGAAAACAAAGAUAGAAUACACCUAGAAAUGCUCCAACAAUCCAACAUCUUGUAUGGCAAGCACGGCUCCAGGUGGCUCCUUCUUCUCCUUCCUUGCACAGAUGCAGCACUAAAGGGAUGUAUGUAUAUGAGUGUGUAUGGUGCGAAAUUAUGGUGAAUGGUGGGUGGUUUCUGAAUGCUGCGGCACUUUAUAUUUAUAGGGAGAGUGUAAGGCACGGCUAGGGUGAGUAGAAGGAGAAUUAGGACUCCAAAUCAUCAAGGAAUAAGGACUAUUCAAUUUUGGAUUCC
Molecule: long non-coding RNA, 3346 nt
Filed under: Malus domestica (apple)
Lineage: Eukaryota; Viridiplantae; Streptophyta; Magnoliopsida; Rosales; Rosaceae
Description: long non-coding RNA (MDOM_LNC021277)
Source: RNAcentral